CGGUACAAUGGGUUGCCAAACCGCGAGGUGGAGCUAAUCCCACAAAACCGAUCCCAGUCCGGAUUGUAGUCUGCAACUCGACUACAUGAAGUCGGAAUCGCUAGUAAUCGUGGAUCAGAAUGCCACGGUGAAUACGUUCCCGGGUCUUGUACACACCGCCCGUCACACCAUGGAAGUUGAUUGCUCCAGAAGUAGGUAGCUUAAAAAUGGGCGCUUACCACGGAGUGGUCGAUGACUGGGGUGAAGUCGUAACAAGGUAGCCGUAGGGGAACCUGCGGCUGGAUCACCUCCUUUAAA
Molecule: ribosomal RNA, 297 nt
Filed under: Ignatzschineria cameli
Lineage: Bacteria; Pseudomonadati; Pseudomonadota; Gammaproteobacteria; Cardiobacteriales; Ignatzschineriaceae
Description: partial 16S ribosomal RNA
Rfam family: Bacterial small subunit ribosomal RNA
Source: RNAcentral